ACAAUUUAAUGUGCCUUCCGGAGGAACUCGUGGACAUAGAUGAUCGCUCAUCCACGAAUCGAUCGUAUCAAGUGUAGCUAAACCUGCAAUCAGUCAACUGGUGCAGUUAUAAGUUAGACAUUAGCAUUAUAUAUAUUGGGGUUAUAUAACAGAUUGUUCCUUGUCACCAGGUACGGUCAGCUCUCUGGCAUGGUGGAGCCAGUGUUCGGCGUGCUAGGUGCGGUUGCCGUGGCGGCGGCCCAGCCCGCGCUGCCCUACGCGCUCGCCUUCGCUGCUGGCGCCAUGAUAUACGUCGUAGCUGAUGAUAUUAUACCAGAGGCUAAUGCUUCCGGUAACGGCAAGCUGGCGACGUGGGGCUGCAUCAUCGGCUUCGUGGUGAUGAUGUGCCUGGACGUCGGGCUCGGGUAACCGCCCCUCGCCCCUCCUCACGCCGUGCCUUCAUCGCCGACUUAUGCUGACUAGUAUUACCGAUCUAAGAUAAACCCACUACCCCUGUAAGUUAAUGUAGAUAUUUUUGUAUAAACUCAUGUGAUCAUCAACCUCUCAACUUUGGAUACACGAAUAUCUAUAUAUAUUCCAACUGAACCAAAUCAAAUGAUUCCCAACAUGUGAUAUUAUUUUAAAGUAAUUCCAUUACAACCAAAUUGUUUUAACGCAGAAUCUAUCCAUAAUUCAAUUGCAUAAUGAAGCGAUCUCAAGUUGUUUUAACCGGUCAUUAAAAGGUUAGGAAUCCAUCGGUCGAAAUAGUUACACGGUACGCCGAGUGUGUACGUGUCUCAAAUUUUGUACGUUUUCUAUAAUUGGUUGUAUUCAGUACUCUAAUUGGCUCGCUACAGGUAGCGGCGGCGUACACAUGCCGAUGAUACUUAACUAACAAGCUAAGCUCAGUACCUAUCAAAAGAAAAAGUUCCCAUGUUUGUCAUGAAUGUCAAUUGUAUAAAAAAUCAUUUAGAAACGUCAUUCUGAUUAGGAAUGGAAUCAUGCUCUAUUUAUGUACAGGUUGAUGUAGCAGUAAAUUUUAUUGUUGAGUAAUCUUUACUUAAAUAUGAAUAUUAAAUAAAGUUCCAAGUAUCGCCUUACGAUCGCAACUCCUGGGAUCGUAUGACGAGUCGUGUUCACUGUGUUUUAUUAUACUUAACGGGAUCUUAUGUUUACCAUAUUUGUAGGCAAUACUUCAUAAACCCUUAGAAAUUAUCUCUGAAAUGGUAAAACAUAAUUAUGUAAUAAUUUGUAGCUAUGGAACUUAGCUGUCGCCAAAUUAUUUAUAUACAUAUGGGUGGAAUUCAUUGUAAAUAUGUAAAGUGUAAUAUAUUGUGCGUGGUCCGGUGAUCGUGCGUCGCCGCGGCUGCUCAGAUGUACUGACAUCCGUAUUAUACACGUGUCAAUUGGUUUGAAUGUAGAUUUAUUUCUAUGAGAGAUAGCUUCUGCUUGAAUACAGUAGUUGUAUUAAAAAUAUACAAGAAAUGAUUGUUCUACCAAGUGUUCAGACUGGGAGAUGUUUGCGAUUUAUUUUGCAGUGCACGUAAAAGCAGUUGUACCUACCAAAUAGGUACUAUUAGGUGCCAAAACACAUAAUUUGUGUUUCCGUGUAAGUACUAAACGUACGCUAGAAAUGUCUUUGCUAAACAAACAAACCCUCAGAAAGUCUGCUUAUUUACGUUUGUUCGUCGUUAUACCAGAACGAGUAUCUAGUUAAACAAAAAGUGUUUCAAAUAUUCCAAAAAUGAUAUUAAUGUUAUAUAUAAAAAUAUUGUAUAAUUAGUACUUGUAAGAUAUUAUUAUGGUAUUCCGGUGAUUAUGGUUAUAAUAGUUAAAUUUAUGCGUAGUUACGAAUUCCACCCGUUUCUGCGUCCCAAGUGUUGUUCUCGUGGUCUCGCAUUAGUUGUUGUCUUGUCACUUUACUACGAGAACAACACUCGGGGGUAAUUUAGUUGAAUUUAAGCUAAUACUUUAAGGCCUUUGUUCGUCAGUUAGCCGACAGCACAUAAUGUCAUCUAAAGUUUCCCUGAUACAAGUUAAUACUAAUUUGUUAUUGGAAACAUCGCUAUCGAUAAAUAUCGGUUAAAAACAAUGAAUUAGUUCGGUCAUACAUAAGUAUCAACAAGGGCCUUAGAUUAAUUUUGUAUCGGAAUAGAUAAAAAAAGACAAUAUCAAUGUUUUAUAGAAAAUAACAUUAAAUAUUAAUGUAUAAUAAAUUAAUUUGGAAAAUGUACGUUUGAGUACAUACUGCAUGCAUUUAGAGGUAAGUACCUAAGUAGGUAGUGUGAGUUUUCGGUCAAUUUUAAUGUAAAGCAGUUGAAUUAAAAAAAAAUCGUUAAUAAUGUAACAGUGGACGUUACUUUGCCUCGAAAUAUAUUGAAGAAAUGAGUACUUAAGUCUUAAUCGUAUUUAAUACAAUGGUAUACAAAAGGUACCAGAAUAGUACCAAAGUGUUGGAGCCCACAUGCUUGUUCAAAACUCGCACUACUAUAUCUAAGAAUACGCUUCGGCCAUAGAUUUCCCAAAAAUAUAUUUUUAAAAUGAUAAAUUGAAAUCAAUAUUAUGUUUCCCAAAGUUGAAUAGAUAUAGUUUAAUAUUUUUGCAUUUAUUCAAUAAUGGUUGAAUAUAUUGUCACAAUAGCACAAUAUUUUAGUUUUGGUUUCAUUGUUACUUAAAAUUAAUUUAAUUGUUUUAUAUUAUACAAAAUGCAGUGUCACUUUGUUGUAUUAUUUCGAAAUUAAAAACUCCUCUUAAUACCAGUAUCAAUUGAAAGUAUUAUAUUUGGUUAGAGAAACCGUAUAUUAAACGCGAGAAACCUACGAAAAACAACCUUACUGCCUUGAAAUAAAAGCUGUGACAAUUCGUAAUGACGACUUGAAUGUUUGUGAAAGCCUCGUAGCACAAGGAUACAAUUCCUUAGUGGCGGAAUUGAUUAGUUAAAAAAAGACUAUUAUUAAAGGCAUCACACAUCACUUAGAAACGACCAAUUAUCAAGCUAUAGGUAGUAUCCUUGUUACUUUUGAACUCGAUUCCUAUCCAAAUGUGGCGUAUAUUCCAUAAACGGAAUGUGAUUUUACCUCGUAACAAAAGUUUUCCUUAUCGAGUGUAUUUAAAUGGAACGGGAGCAGCGAUAAACGGGGCCCGGCCGGGUCGUUAAUAAACCUGAGCGCAGAUAUGUACCCGUUACACUUCCUCUAGCGUUCCUCGUCACAUGUCACCAAACUAUUUUGUUGAGACACACUGGCACACACACAAUCUGUAUAUGUAUAGGUGUCUAUAUGUAUAGGUACAUACUUUAGACUAUUGUUCCUGAGAAGAAAAUUGAAAUGCUUUAUGGACCUACUUGGUUAUUUUGUAAGGAUGUCCAAGAGAAUGUUCCUCAGAUUAUAAAUAUAGAACUUUGAAAAAAGUUCUUGGCGUCUACCGUGACAUCUAAAGGUGAUAUUGUGGUGGUAGGUUUAUUUAAGUAAAUACAUACUUGUUAGUGGUUUCCAGUCAGUGAUUGAAAUAUCCAUUUAUUGUUUCUUGACAUCAGUAGAGGUAGGAAUCAAGGUUCAGUGCCGUCGGACACAUUAAGAAGGAUAUUCCAAUCACUGACUGGACACUACUAACUAGUAUAGUAGAAGCGAAUUUUAGCAAACCAAACAUGAAAUAAAACUAAAUAGGCUGGGGCGCUAAUUUGACGAGAUUUUUUUCAAUUCGUGACGCUACUUUUCUAUAAAAAAGAACUAAUUUUACAGAAUUCAUGCAAUAUUAUUCUAAUUUAUUUAUUUACUGACUAGUUUUUCGAUAAAGUUCCUUUAGAAGCACUUAUGGGGAUGACUUCAGUCAUAUAAGAUUUAUGAAAAAAAAAACAAAAGCAAUAGUCAGAAUAUAGAUAAGAGUCGAUGAAAGACAUGUUCAGCCUUUCUGUACUACUUUUGCCCUACCCUUUACUAGAAUAGGAGUUUAACAUAUGAUGAUGAUAAUUUCACAAACAUUCAAUGUAGCGUAAAUAAGCAGCCAACGAACACCGCAUACCCAGUAGCACAAUCACGCUACAGAAGACAACAGAUUUGAGUCAGCGGAAGUCCUAAAAAGAAAAUUCCUUCGUAAAACAUUACACUUUUCAUUACAUUUCAUAAUGGCGAUGACAACACGUUCAGUUCACCUUUGUUUUCUGUUCCUAAUAAGGUUUUUCGUAAACUCUACAACUCUACCAUCAUAUUGAAUGUCAAAAGUGCUUUGUACCGGCCGCUCGCGCUACAACAAUGUUAUAUGGCCUUCUUUUUUAAUUUUUCUAUGGCACAGUCACCACUGACAAAUAUUGGAAUCUGCAAUCGCCAUCACGCAGUUGGUAAGCUUCCUUGGUGAUCAGAGCUCAAAACUUAUGAGGGGAAGACUGUGCCCGACAUCUAGAGAGAGAUGCUCCAGAUGCUCUCCAUAAUUUUAGCAGCACUCCGGAGAUUGUGUAAAUGAGGGUACUUUACAGUAAAAUCAAUUUACCGUUACUAUAGUUUUAUCCACUGUAUUUAAAUUGCUACACUAUUUCAAUAUUUUUGGCAUCCUUUAGUUUUACAUUAUUAAAUUACCAAAAUAUUUAAAGAGUUGCAUUACUUACUAAAAUAAUAAAACUUAUUUCCACCCCGUUGCAGACAUCGCAGUUGAAUCCGCAGCGGCGCGGGCGCAGUAGCGACGCAGUACCUACAGUCCUUGCAACGUCGUCGUCUACGCAUUAGAAAAAUCGCUAAAAGGGCGCGCGGCGCUAUACGGUCGUCGACCCCUCAGCGCGCACCCAAACACCCGAAUACUUGCGCGUACGCAGCUCCUCUCUCCGCCGCCACCGAUAAAACCCUCUCAAUGGAAUCCGAGGCAUGCCUACAUGUGGCGGCUGAGCACGCGCGCGCACUUAUUUGUUUUGGAGGAUCACACUUACGCCCGCAUCAUGUAACUCGCCGUCAUGACUAAAAUGAAAUGCACGCAUGUAUACAUACCUCUUUCUCUUUCAGUAACAUGCAAUACGACUCUGCUUUGCGAUAUCCGAAAAAUAUUGAGAUGAGAUUUUUUGGUCAUCCUAAGAGCAAGUUCUGCAAACAAUUAAUGUCAAUGCGAAAGCUUUUAGUUAAAAAAAAACUUUUGAUUAAAAACCAAACAAUAGUUUUGGCAACAAUGACUUUAUAACAAAACUUGCAAAUAUUUUGCCAACCUUUUGUCUAUUUAACUUUAUACGUUAGUUUUGAUGCCCAAAACGGUUUAUAUUGUAUCACGUAUCAAAAGUGACUGCAUUUGGAGAUGGGACGGAAACAUUUAUGGGCGAUGUAACGUGAAGAAGCCCAUUCGAGUGAUUUCCAUUCAUUUGUUGACAAUGUAUGGUGGUGGCGCGGUCAGAGGGCGCGGGGUGCCCCGCGUGCAGUCAGCCUCGCGCGCCCGCGCCCCGCGCACGCUGUACGCUGCACCGCGGGCCUAUGCACCGCGCACGCGUUCUACACCCGUUUAAAUUCCGACCAACUUCACACGACAACCCGGCAAACUAAACUCACCUCUAUUUACUACGUGAUAAGGACUACAUCACCAGCAUCUCCGAGCUCCACGAACUGCAUCGACACAGCGCCACCAUCGAUCACUAGGUUCCCUGCACUCACCGAUCGAUGGACUAUUACAGCUUUGUUUACGUACCGUCGCCUGCGCAUAAACACUCGGCGCUCGGCGUCGGAAGUGGUCGCCGAAGCAGGCAGGGUAGCUGAGGGGCUGCGCCGGCGCACACACCUGCCUGUCCCGCCAUAUUUGCCUUACAACGUGGAUUAUUUCGUUUAUAUUGUAUACUAAGCGCUAUCUGUUGCAACAGAUGCGAUGCGCCAUUUGCGUCACUGCAUAUUUAGUGACGAUUGCACAUUCUUGUAUACUUAGUAAGGUUAUCUAGUUACUUUAUUAUUCUGCAAUGCAUGCAUUAACUAUAAUAUAUAAAUAGACAAUCACUGCCUGAAUGCGUCAGACAAACAACUUAGAAAACAUCUCGUCUAUUUUCGCUGUACUUUAAUAAAUAUUACUAUAAUGGUACACUACUUAAUCGUUUGUCUUGUUCGACUUAAUUGAAUGUCAGAUUACACCCCUUAAUGCACAUCAAUGUUAAUUACAAUAGGUUAAUCAUACUAUUUAAACACUGUGAUCAAGACAGGGGGUAAUAAAAACCUAGAAAUCGUCCUAUAAUUAAAGAGUCAUUGUAGUACCGCUUCAAUCGCAGUUGCCUGUCAAAAGUCUUUUAUCCUUUGGCAAUUGUUUUUCUUCGAAAAAAGUAUAGACGGUUAGCAGGCAACUCUAUUUAACCAACACUUGUUUUCCAAGCACAGUUGGAGGCGCUGCCACCUCACACAUACUAAGAAAUGAGCAAAUUAAAACACAUUAUAUGUUAAACAUAAGUAAACAAUGGGAUAUAAAUCUGGCUAGUCACAUUACAAUGCCUAAAUCUUCAAAUCCAUCAUAAUGUGUAGGUAUUUAUCGACUUUUGUUUAAAGCUAAGCGUGUCUUGCACUAAAGAUGAGCACUAUUCAAUCCUUAUUGGUUACAAGGACAGCAGUCUUAUCAAAACUGCACAUAACUUUAUUCACUUAGCGGACGCAUCAAUUCGAGAAUUCAUCAGACCUUUAAUACUAUUGUAAAGAUAGAACUUCGACCUUCUUUUAUUAUCUAUUAUUUUGAAAUAACUGCUACCUAUAAAGACCCUCUAAAGCUUCAUGGUAAUGUUGACAUUGCAUCGGGAUGCGUCAUUUUAGUGAAAAAUUCGUAUGGCAACUACAUACUCUACAUAUUCCUUAAUUAAUUAUGAUAUCGUUUUGAAAAACGUAACAUCACGUUAUAUUCAUGGGUCUUAGAUGUUGCAGAAAUGGUUGCAGACAUUCUUGAUAACCAUUAAUCUUUUGUGUAGUGCACCACAACUGAGUAGAGAGAGUCUGAGUAACAUCGCAUUAACACCUUCGAGUGCGUUUUGUGUGGCAAAUCAGAUUUGCAUUCUUUCAAUCAAUAAAAGUAUAACGUUGGCAUUUGUAGUUAAAUAUGCAACUUUCGAGCGCAUUUCCGCCCAAAAUACGAGAAAACAAAAGACAUCAACGCAUUAUUUUGGAGAAAUUAUUGGAAUGUCCUUUUAAAUGAUAUGCAAUUUGCACGCAUAGCGAUAUUAAAGACAUCGUUCAUUAGUACUAAUUUAAAUGUACGUCUUUGUUAUAGCACAAACCUCUUCUUUAUUCAUACUUGUCUCUUUUUAAGAAUGUGCGUUAGAUUGAUUUAGUUUUACGAUAAACUUACUUCAAUGAAAUCUCGUGACACAAAUUAGAUACUCGUAUUUCGCCAUUCACUAACUUUAAGAUUCCUCCGUUGCCUUCGAUAAAACGACAGCUUACAGCUACAGCAAGAUAUUUGCUAAUUGUAAAACUUGACAUAGGCAAAGGUCUAAGUACAUUUUCAUUAAAGAAUUUGAAUGAAAAUCGUGUCGAUACUUAUUUAAUGGUACCUUAUAGAAUCUGUAUUACAA
This is a long non-coding RNA of Trichoplusia ni (cabbage looper), 7483 nucleotides long. RefSeq lists it as uncharacterized. NCBI's taxonomy places the organism in Eukaryota, Metazoa, Arthropoda, Insecta, Lepidoptera, Noctuidae. The transcript is spliced from 3 exons. The record is from RefSeq and is a predicted model, not a curated record.